RNAcentral lists this ribosomal RNA (402 nucleotides) under uncultured bacterium. Its description in RNAcentral is "bacterial SSU rRNA". It matches the Rfam family "Bacterial small subunit ribosomal RNA", at positions 355 to 774 of the family's 1533-position model. The record is from RNAcentral.
UCGGGAAUUUUGGGCAAUGGGCGAAAGCCUGACCCAGCAACGCCGCGUGAGGGAUGAAGUAUUUCGGUAUGUAAACCUCGAAAGAAUGGGAAGAAUAAAUGACGGUACCAUUUAUAAGCUCCGGCUAACUACGUGCCAGCAGCCGCGGUAAUACGUAGGGAGCAAGCGUUGUUCGGAUUUACUGGGCGUAGAGGGCGCGUAGGCGGCGCGGUAAGUCACUUGUGAAAUCUCUGAGCUUAACUCAGAACGGCCAAGUGAUACUGCUGUGCUAGAGUGCGGAAGAGGCAACCGGAAUUCUUGGUGUAGCGGUGAAAUGCGUAGAUAUCAAGAGGAACACCUGAGGCGAAGGCGGGUUGCUGGGCCGACACUGACGCUGAUGCGCGAAAGCCAGGGGAGCAAACG